RNAcentral lists this long non-coding RNA (2367 nucleotides) under Amborella trichopoda. Its description in RNAcentral is "long non-coding RNA (ATRI_LNC000850)". The record is from RNAcentral. Lineage: Eukaryota; Viridiplantae; Streptophyta; Magnoliopsida; Amborellales; Amborellaceae.
CGAAACCUUAACGCCUCUGUUUUCUCUCACAAUUGCCUCUUAUCCAUAAAAUCACAAAGCAAUCCCAAAUCAGAUAACCAAAAAUCUUGACCUUAAAACUUGAAUUAAAGCCUAACAUAACAGGAUACUAGCAUUUCAACUGCAGCGGCCAAAAUUCAUCAAAAAAUACCUGUAAAAGUGGCAGAGAAAGAAGGGCCCCAAAAUCAAGGGACGAGAAGAGACUCGGCCCUUCCCCUUGAUGGCAAAUCUUGGAUGAUCUCUCCCUCUCCUCUCCCUCAGUGUAGAAGGCCUCUUCGAUUGGGGGAAGAGCCCUUUCUCUCUCUAACUGAUACGUCGUUCUCUCUUUCUCUCUCUUGCCCAGAACCCAGCCUGCAAAACAGGAUUGAAACCCUAAACCGGCUCUUUCUCUCUCUUACCUGUUACUUCCUUCGUCCCUUGUAUCUCAACCUGUCAAUGGCUAUUAAGCUCCUUGAGAACAAAUCUGUGAUGAAAUAGGGUUGACAUACAAGGAAAUAACAACCUACAAUGAAGAUACAGAGAGACAAUCAACUGGGUAGUGAGAGAGAGAGAGAGUCGAACCAAAAGAGAACCGACUGGGUUUUGAGAAAAAAGAGUAAUCCUCUCUCUCUCUCUCUCUUGAUGCUCUCUUUCUUCAGAGGAUAAUGACGCUAAUCUCUCUCUCUAAAAAGCGCCAUCGCAGGAAAACCAGAGCCCUCUCCUCUCCCAUUUGUUCAAGCCCUGAACACUGCCUGUCUGCACCUGCUUUCCUCUUCACAAAUCUCCUCCUGCUGCCUGCCUCUCAAACCUAAAAAUAGAUUUUUAAGAAGUCAAACCGAUCUUCCCCACCAUCCAAACCCUUACAAAAGAAAAAAAAAAACAUCCCACUGAUUCCCUCUCGCCAUGCUCCUCGCGUGCAAAGCCAAAAACUCAAAACAAAAAAUAAUUUCAUUCUCUACCCCGGUGAACCCUCCUAAACCUUGUCCGAGAGAAACCCAAAAAAGGGAAACAUCCGAAACCUUCCUCAACCUUGUCCGAGAGAAACCCGAGAACGACCUCCAACACCAUGAAGUCUUCACAAAUGUGAGGCCUCCUUGAUAGGAACAGGAAGAGUUUCAGGGAGCUCGUGGGACCUCAUUUUAUUGAGGAAAUACUGGUAUUUAUUUUGUCCCUCUCCCCAUGCUCCUCGCGUGCAAAGCCCAAUACUCAAACCAGAGAAUAAAACUCUCCCUCAAACUCUCUCUCUAUAUACUUACCAACGAGCUAAAACAAACUUUUUUUUUCUUCUCUCUCUCUAUACUUACCCGAAAGGCAAAACAAACUCUCUCAUCUCGGUAUUCUCUCUCUCUCUCUCUCUCUUUGCCUUAAUUUUGUACUGAGACUGGUUGUUUUUUAGCUUAUUUGAAUGCCUAUUUAUUGUCUUGUAUAUUGAAAUUGCUUUGUUUUGUAUGAUUGUUGGAGUUUUUUUUUUUUUGGGUUUGUUCUAUGAAUUUUGAUAUGCUCUGUGAUUUUUUUUAAUAUUCUUCGUUUAUUUUGUCUUAAUUUUAUACUGGGAUUUGUAGUUAUUGAGCUUAUUCGAAUGCCUAUUUAUUGUCUGGCAUGUUGAACUUUCACCAUUUUGUAUGCUUGUUGGAGUUCUUAUUUUUUUUUUGGGUUUGUUCUAUAAAUUUUCAUAUGCUCUGUGAUUUUUUUUAAGAUUCUUCAUUUUUUUUUUAUCUUAAUUUUAUACUGGGAUUUGUAGUUUUUGAGCUUUUCGAAUGCCUAUUUAUUGUCUUGCAUGUUUUAAUUGCACUAUUUUGUAUGAUUGUUGGAGGUUUUUUUUUUUUGGCUUUGUUCUAUGAAUUUUCAUAUGCUCUGUGAUUUUUUCUAAGAUUCUUCAUUUUUUUUUCUUAAUUUUAUAAUGGGAUUUGUAGUUAUUGAGCUUAUUCGAAUGCCUAAUUAUCGUCUUGCAGGUUGAAAUUGCACCAUUUUGUGUGAUUGUUGGAGUUUUAUUUUUUUUGGCUUUGUUCUAUAAAUUUUCAUAUGCUCUGUGAUUUUUCUAAGAUUCUUCAUUUUUUUUUGUCUUAAUUUUAUACUGGGAUUUAUAGUUUUUGAGCUUAUUCGAAUGCUUAUUUAUUGUCUGGCAUGCUGAGAUUGCACUAUUUUGUGUAAUUGUUGAAGUUUUAUUUAGUUUUGGCUUUGUUCUAUUUAUGGGACACCCUAACUUUUUUCUUCCCUUUAAAUAGUAAUAGAAUAGCAUAUGCAACCUACUGAUGCAAAGACCCAAAAACAAUCACCACAGCCUCAUGAACAAUACAAUUUGAGCUUGAGUUUGACUUGAGCUUCAACCAUAAAGGUUUAGCACAAGCCAAGCCUACCAAGCAUAGGNNN